RNAcentral lists this transfer RNA (67 nucleotides) under Thaumalea sp. ZK-2019. Its description in RNAcentral is "tRNA-Phe". Lineage: Eukaryota; Metazoa; Arthropoda; Insecta; Diptera; Thaumaleidae. The record is from RNAcentral.
AUUUAAAUAGCUUAUAUCUAGAGCGUGACAUUGAAGCUGUUAAGGAAACUGAUAUAGUUUUUGAAUA